GAUGAACGCUAGCGGGAGGCCUAACACAUGCAAGCCGAGCGGUAGAGUUUCUUCGGAAACUUGAGAGCGGCGCACGGGUGCGUAACACGUGUGCAACCUACCUUUAUCUGGGGGAUAGCCUUUCGAAAGGAAGAUUAAUACCCCAUAAUAUAAUGAUUGGCAUCAAUUAUUAUUGAAAACUCCGGUGGAUAGAGAUGGGCACGCGCAAGAUUAGAUAGUUGGUGAGGUAACGGCUCACCAAGUCAAUGAUCUUUAGGGGUCCUGAGAGGGAGAUCCCCCACACUGGUACUGAGACACGGACCAGACUCCUACGGGAGGCAGCAGUGAGGAAUAUUGGACAAUGGGUGAGAGCCUGAUCCAGCCAUCCCGCGUGAAAGAUGACGGUCCUAUGGAUUGUAAACUUCUUUUGUACAGGGAUAGACCUACCCUCGUGAGGGUAGCUGAAGGUACUGUACGAAUAAGCACCGGCUAACUCCGUG
Molecule: ribosomal RNA, 479 nt
Filed under: uncultured bacterium
Lineage: Bacteria
Description: partial 16S ribosomal RNA
Rfam family: Bacterial small subunit ribosomal RNA
Source: RNAcentral